Molecule: long non-coding RNA, 560 nt
Organism: Mustela erminea (ermine)
Lineage: Eukaryota; Metazoa; Chordata; Mammalia; Carnivora; Mustelidae
Exons: 3
Source: RefSeq, a predicted model, not a curated record
GUCUGCUUCUGGGCUACCGAUGGGCAGCCCAGAUGAUCUUUUCUGGAAGAAGAAAAAUCUUUCUCUGUGUUUCUUCAAGACUCUUCAUCUGUAUGCUAGAACUACCUCCCUCUGAGGUAUAGAUUUUUAGAAACGAAACCAAGAAGGUCAGGAAGGCACUUUCUGCUUCAGGCCCCACUACAUCCCUUUCCCACACAAUGAGCAUCAAGACAAUUACCUAUUUCAACAAGCCAUGGAUUUGGGGGCACAGCAGUGGAGGAUCCAAUCCAGUUUGGAGAGAGAGAGGAAGAUUUCACAGAACAAGUCAUGUCUGCUUCCUGAAGCAUGAACUAGAAUGUGCCUGAUGGGUAAGAGAGCUUGGAGGCUGGGGAGCUUUCUGUAGAGAGCUCACCUGAGGGAUCAUCGAUCUGGUGUAAUGAGUCCAGCCCAGAGUUAGGUCUAGUCACUGUUGCAGUCACCCCCAAAGAAGGUAAUGGCGUCCAGAGGGAAAAUGGAUUUCAUUUGUGUAUUGGUCUGGGCAUUUCUUUCUGCCAUAACAAAUAAAACCGAAACUUUCGUUA